AAUAAUUGCUUUCAAGAACAUCUCAUUUAAGAAACGGUGCCUGGAUGCUAUGGCAGUAAUAAAAUCUCCAUCAUUGCUGGUCUAUCAGGCUGCGCUGAGUUCUGUCCUGGAUUUCCCUCUCACAGUGCACAUCAGCCGCAGGUCGCGGUUUCGUCUGUCAGUCAGCAGCCACCACUGAGCUUCACUGGCAAUGGGACUAUGACUGCAGCUGGCCUCAGGGCCUCUGUCCUGGUGUCACCUUGCUGGGGUCACUGAGCGAGGUAAGGGUCACCGUCUCUUUUGAGAGGUCAGUCACGUGGAUGACGCCCUUGUUAGGUGCAUCUAUGCUAUAGUAACUUUGUUUUAUAGAAUGUUUUGUCAGGCUCGGACACAGCGUGCUGUACAGAUGGGCACUGGCAGCGCCUUUGUCCCCGACCCUUCCCAUCCUCACGGCUGCCUUGCUGGGAAUAUUCAGGCGUGCAGACGGCAAGGCUUCCUCCAGCUGAGUCAUCGCUGGGAAUCGGCAGAGAAUGCAGAAACGUUUUGGGAACUACAGAACAGGAAACUUUGGCUGAAGACCAGGCAGACUCCAGUACACAUGAUGAAGUCUCCAGACAUCGCUGCUACUAACCCCUCUUCAUCUUACAGUUUUGAAAGUGAGUUCUUUGUCUCAUCAUCUUCCUACAGAAGGAAUUAUCCCAAUAGUUUCAAA
Molecule: long non-coding RNA, 691 nt
Filed under: Cavia porcellus (domestic guinea pig)
Lineage: Eukaryota; Metazoa; Chordata; Mammalia; Rodentia; Caviidae
Description: lncRNA (ENSCPOG00000038305.1)
Source: RNAcentral